Oryza sativa Japonica Group (Japanese rice) is the source of this 3312-nucleotide non-coding RNA. The record is from RefSeq and is a predicted model, not a curated record. NCBI's taxonomy places the organism in Eukaryota, Viridiplantae, Streptophyta, Magnoliopsida, Poales, Poaceae.
CGCUCCUCUGGCCUCUCCUAGUUCCGUAGAAGCUAGAGCCCCCUCUAAUUUUGGCGGUUAGCGCCCGAAGCCGUGACGGUUCGGCCGCCGUUCCGCCACCAACGAGCUCGCCGUGGACAAGCCAUCCCGGAGCUCCUCUUAGCCAUAUAGUGAGAAAAACGGAACCCCCGUACGCCGUAGAUGCUCAUGCCCCCAUCAAUCUGGUCGGAAACCUUCCCUACCACCCUAGCCCCGAGCUGCCCGAGCUCGGGAUCAUGGCGUUUCUUGGUUUGCCGCCGUCCAUGCGCUGCCGUGCGCCGUAGCCGCCUGCGGGGUGUUCGCCGGAGCUCUCCGCACCUUCCCCGGCCGCUGGCCUCGCGCCAACCCGGCCUCACCCGGCUGCAUCCUCCCCUGCUGCUUCCGCUCGGGCUGGACUGCUGGAGGUUGAAGACGACUCCCUUCUGAGUCGCUGACGAGCUAGGCCCACCUCCAUCUUCUCGAUAGAAAAAUAAUUUGGAACAAAAGAAAAUCAAGACCUUGACCCCAUUUGUCAGUCCGGUAGCUGUGGAUGGGAUUUCGGAUUAAAAUAAAUCAAUUAGGAACAGUAACUUUUCGCUAUUUCUCGGAUUAAUUCAAAUUUGAGUCUUUAAACUAGCAUAACUUAUUCAUUUUAACUCCAAUUUGAGUGAAACUUAAACCUAAAUUCAUAAGCUUCCCAAUGGUAUAUAACUCACUAUUUAAUAAAAUAUAUUUAUAAUUAUUAAAUAAUUAAUAUCAAAUGAUUAGAUAAUGAUUAAACUAAAAAUGUGCUAGCAAAUAAAAAUUAUCAUUGUACAGUGAACUAGGUAGAGGAAUAUUUGUUGUUAGCAUGUUCUGUCACUAUGGGAGAACCAUGUGUAGCUAUAUGUAUUAGUUCAAUUUAAAGCAAAGAUAGGACAUAUUAGUAUCAUUUAUUAUUCCAUGAUUAUAUAUAGUCAAGUUCAUGAUUUAGUCAUUGUCUAAAUAGAGGAUUAACUUAAUGAGUUUAUAACUAAAAAUCUAAGUACACACAUAUCACAGUCCUUAGUUUGUCCAUGAGGUAUAAUAAGAGAGCUGGGUGUGAUGGAAUCAAUCGAAUGAUAGAUUUAACCAGUGCAAUAUCCUAUAUAGUAGUAUAUAUAUAAUUUGGUUGACGCCUAUUAUUUAACAGAACAAUAAAUAACUCAUGUUCGGUAAAUGAUCCAAUAUUAACAUAUUAUUGAACUCGCAUGUAUAGUACAUCUAUUUAACACAUACACAGUAAGUCAAUCACCUACUUUUGCACCUAUUAAACUAUGAAUUGUUCGAUAAACAUCAAAGUUAGAUAAAACACUAAUUAUAAAUCUUGACCUCGUUACAAGACCACACAGACAAAUAAUCUGUACCUAUAACCUCACAGAUCUAACAUAUAGAGCAUGGAUGAUUAUUAACCCUUUUAUAAUUUAUAAUGACAAGUAAAAUAUGAUCAUAAUUAAAAUAAUGCCCCAUUGGUAAAAUAAUAAUAUAAAUGAUUCCUUGUGAUUGCUUGUUGAUCCUAAUUAAAUUAAUCCAUCCAACGACAGAACCUUUAAUAUAUGACCAUUUUACUUGAAUAGAUGCAUGCGUAGUCAUAUAACCCUCCCAUAACCCUAUAGCUAGACUAAACCACAUAGUAGCACUGUAUAUCUCAUAUAUUAUGCUAGUAGUACCAAUAGAGCCAUCAGGACAAUAUAAAAUACUAAGAAACCUUAGCCCAUAAGCUUUCUUGUCUCAUCAGCUGCUUGCAUGCUAAGUAAUUUAGAGCCUAAGCUACCUCAAUUUUCCUUACCUAUAUAAACUGUGCAGCCAUAGUAGAGACUUCGUAGCACCUUACAAUCCAUUAGCAAACACAGUAAAAUGAGCAACCCUAGUAUUGGUGUAUCGAUUAGUCGUGAAGCAACAUAUGCAAGCUUCCAGGAGGUGAAGGUUGAUCAAGAUUAUAUCAAGAAUAGGAACUAUCCUGAGCAGCAAGUCAUCACUAAUCUUUGAGCAUGUUGAACCCAUUGCGAACUUAUUUUGGAUUUAAAAUAAAGUUUGCAUGCUAUAUGGAUAUACGUGAAUGUCCUACUUUGUUAUAUGCCAUGCCUUUGAUAUUGAUGACCCAUGCAAUCCUUGUAAUCCAUAAUAUCGUGUGUCUUUACUCAAUACUUUAUAAAUGCUUAGCCAUGCUACUUUAGAAUCAUGCAUAUUCAUAUUUAUCAAAAUACUUUAUGCUUGGGCAACUACCUUUGGGAAGGUGGUUGAGAUGCGGCAUGUGGAGACAUGAGUGCCACAUUGCCAUGACAUUGGUGACAUGAUUUGUGAAAGGAAAAAUAAAACUAAACAACUGUUUUCGACUGGGGCGACUGGAUGACUUGGGUGGAGUCCGGUAAAGGCUAGUGCCGUCCCUGGUCAAUUAAGGACCGAGCCAUGAAGUUAAGCAUGAAACGACCUCAGUACAACCGUACUUCUCGUGUGGGUAUAGACCUAGCAGAGUAAAUAGCCGAGCGGAGGCGGAACCCAAGCCGUAGUGGUUUUCUUGUUGUGUGUGAGGCAGGGACUACGGUGGGGCAGCCAUUGGUAUGACCACGAGGGGCGGGUGCCUACAGUGGUGUCGCCAUCGGUAGGACUGCCAUGUGUAAACAUAAACUUAACUAUAACUUAACUCCUCUCACUGCUAGAAAUCUUGGACGCCUAGAGUGCAUGAGGACUAAAGUUGAUGGAGCGGGUACUGCCAAAGUGAGGUUAUGGAAAGGCUUUGCCGUGGCAAGUCUCAUUCGUUGGGAUGUAGGCUCAUGUGUUGGGCAAGUCGCGGAGUACGGGUAAAGUGUACAUCCACUACAGUGUGAGUAAAUCAAUCUAUUCGAAUAGCCGUGCUCGUGGUUAUCGAGCACCGGGACGUGUAUUACACUUGGCUAGACUCUAAUUUCUUAAUCUGAUUGGGAUGGGAUAUGCAUGAUGAUUUUGUGCUGAUGGAUCAACUUCUCGAGAGGCGAGAAGGGGUAGACCCCAGAAAACCAUGACGACCAGUGGCGGGAAGCUAUCCUUGGGAACACAAUGGAUGGUGGACAGAACUGUCGCUGUUUAAUGAACCAUGGAGUUAAAACUUGAUUAGUUUAUGCUAGGUCUUAGGUUUGUGAAAUGAUAUUUGAAAACUCAGCUUUACGCAAAGUAACCAUAGCCACUCCUUGUAUUAUCCUGUACAUUACUGCAUUUUGUGUGGUGGCUUGCUGAGUACUUUUGUACUCAUUGUUGCUCUAUAUAUACCUUUUAGCAGAGUGUUGAAGAGAAGCCCUUGUUAGUACGCUUGCGUACCUA